CAGCAGCCGCGGUAAUACGUAGGGUGCGAGCGUUAAUCGGAAUUACUGGGCGUAAAGCGUGCGCAGGCGGCUUUGCAAGACAGAGGUGAAAUCCCCGGGCUCAACCUGGGAACUGCCUUUGUGACUGCAAGGCUAGAGUACGGCAGAGGGGGAUGGAAUUCCGCGUGUAGCAGUGAAAUGCGUAGAUAUGCGGAGGAACACCGAUGGCGAAGGCAAUCCCCUGGGCCUGUACUGACGCUCAUGCACGAAAGCGUGGGGAGCAAACAGGAUUAGAUACCCUGGUAGUCCACGCCCUAAACGAUGUUAACUGGUUGUUGGACGGCUUGCUGUUCAGUAACGAAGCUAACGCGUGAAGUUGACCGCCUGGGGAGUACGGCCGCAAGGUUGAAACUCAAAGAAAUUGACGG
Molecule: ribosomal RNA, 407 nt
Filed under: uncultured rumen bacterium
Lineage: Bacteria
Description: bacterial SSU rRNA
Rfam family: Bacterial small subunit ribosomal RNA
Source: RNAcentral